UGAGGAACAUGACCUUCGGCGGGGAUAGCCGGCCCAACGGCCGGGUAAUACCGCGUACGACCACAUGGGGACAUCCCCGAGUGGUGAAAGCAGCAAUGCGCCGAUGGAGUGCCUCGCGGCCUAUCAGCUAGUUGGUGAGGUAACGGCUCACCAAGGCGACGAUGCGUAGCCCGACCUGAGAGGGUNAUCGGCCACAUUGGAACUGAGACACGGUCCAGACCUCCGUAGGGACGG
This 234-nucleotide ribosomal RNA is filed under the name uncultured bacterium. Its description in RNAcentral is "partial 16S ribosomal RNA". It matches the Rfam family "Bacterial small subunit ribosomal RNA", at positions 118 to 348 of the family's 1533-position model. The record is from RNAcentral.